GACGAACGCUGGCGGCGUGCUUAACACAUGCAAGUCGAACGGAGAGGCCCUGCUUUUGUGGGGUGCUCGAGUGGCGAACGGGUGAGUAACACGUGAGUAACCUGCCCUUGACUUUGGGAUAACUUCAGGAAACUGGGGCUAAUACCGGAUAGGAGCUCCUGCUGCAUGGUGGGGGUUGGAAAGUUUCGGCGGUUGGGGAUGGACUCGCGGCUUAUCAGCUUGUUGGUGGGGUAGUGGCUUACCAAGGCUUUGACGGGUAGCCGGCCUGAGAGGGUGACCGGCCACACUGGGACUGAGAUACGGCCCAGACUCCUACGGGAGGCAGCAGUGGGGAAUAUUGCACAAUGGGCGGAAGCCUGAUGCAGCAACGCCGCGUGCGUGAUGACGGCCUUCGGGUUGUAAACCGCUUUCGCCUGUGACGAAGCGUGAGUGACGGUAAUGGGUAAAGAAGCACCGGCUAACUACGUG
RNAcentral lists this ribosomal RNA (468 nucleotides) under uncultured bacterium. RNAcentral's name for it is "partial 16S ribosomal RNA". It matches the Rfam family "Bacterial small subunit ribosomal RNA", at positions 28 to 507 of the family's 1533-position model. The record is from RNAcentral.